RNAcentral lists this ribosomal RNA (564 nucleotides) under uncultured bacterium. RNAcentral describes it as "bacterial SSU rRNA". It matches the Rfam family "Bacterial small subunit ribosomal RNA", at positions 338 to 916 of the family's 1533-position model. The record is from RNAcentral.
CCUACGGGAGGCAGCAGUGGGGAAUUUUCCGCAAUGGGCGAAAGCCUGACGGAGCAACGCCGCGUGAGGGAUGAAGGCCUCUGGGCUGUAAACCUCUUUUAUCAAGGAAGAAGAUCUGACGGUACUUGAUGAAUAAGCCACGGCUAAUUCCGUGCCAGCAGCCGCGGUAAUACGGGAGUGGCAAGCGUUAUCCGGAAUUAUUGGGCGUAAAGCGUCCGCAGGCGGUCUUGUAAGUCUGUCGUUAAAGCGUGGAGCUUAACUCCAUUUCAGCGAUGGAAACUGCAAGACUAGAGUGUGGUAGGGGCAGAGGGAAUUCCCGGUGUAGCGGUGAAAUGCGUAGAUAUCGGGAAAAACACCAGUGGCGAAGGCGCUCUGCUGGGCCAUAACUGACGCUCAUGGACGAAAGCCAGGGGAGCGAAAGGGAUUAGAUACCCCUGUAGUCCUGGCCGUAAACGAUGAACACUAGGUGUCGGGGGAAUCGACCCCCUCGGUGUCGUAGCCAACGCGUUAAGUGUUCCGCCUGGGGAGUACGCACGCAAGUGUGAAACUCAAAUGAAUUGACGG